RNAcentral lists this ribosomal RNA (459 nucleotides) under uncultured bacterium. RNAcentral describes it as "partial 16S ribosomal RNA". It matches the Rfam family "Bacterial small subunit ribosomal RNA", at positions 338 to 795 of the family's 1533-position model. The record is from RNAcentral.
CCUACGGGUGGCAGCAGUGAGGAAUAUUGGUCAAUGGACGAGAGUCUGAACCAGCCAAGUAGCGUGAAGGAUGACUGCCCUAUGGGUUGUAAACUUCUUUUAUAUGGGAAUAAAACAGGGUAUGCAUACCCUCUUGUAUGUACCAUAUGAAUAAGGAUCGGCUAACUCCGUGCCAGCAGCCGCGGUAAUACGGAGGAUCCGCGCGUUAUCCGGAUUUAUUGGGUUUAAAGGGUGCGUAGGCGGACUGGAAAGUCAGCGGUAAAAUCGAGAGGCUCAACCUCUUUCCGCCGUUGAAACUGUCGGUCUUGAGUGGGCGAGAAGUAUGCGGAAGGCGUGGUGUAGCGGUGAAAUGCAUAGAUAUCACGCAGAACUCCGAUUGCGAAGGCAGCAUACCGGCGCCCGACUGACGCUGAGGCACGAAAGCGUGGGUAUCGAACAGGAUUAGAUACCCGGGUAGUC